AUCAGCACAUAAAGAACAAGCCUCAGUUCCAGCUGGCAAGGGUGCAGGCAUGGCACAAGCCCCUUACUAGGGCCAGGUUAAACCAAAGCAUGCAUCAGGAUGGUUCUGAUUAAAUGGUUGGAUCAUUUUCCUGUGAGUAGAACCAGUAAGCCUAAGAAAAAAAUUCCAGUUCCCAGUCUGUUGACAGAAUUCAAGAGAUGAUCCAAUCCCUUACAAAUGUCGUUCUUAUUGAAAACACCUUAUCUGCUCCCUCACUCACCACACAGCCCCCUGUAAAAUAAAUUAAGCAUAGAAACUGCAGCCAACUAUUUUAUGAG
Molecule: long non-coding RNA, 317 nt
Organism: Ricinus communis (castor bean)
Lineage: Eukaryota; Viridiplantae; Streptophyta; Magnoliopsida; Malpighiales; Euphorbiaceae
Exons: 2
Source: RefSeq, a predicted model, not a curated record